GUACAUAAGAUUUCCAAUCCGUGAAAAGGAGGAGCUAUUAUUGGCACGUGCUCUCAUAUUUUCCUGGCAAUAAAUACAGAUACCUGGCUACUUUAGUAUGGGAGGCAAAUACAUGAUGUAUGUACCAAGGCCAUUUGCCCAUUCUGAAUCUGGACAUCACUGAACUCUGAAGCUCUUGCAGUUUUAACUCAUUAUUAAAAAUGUCAAGAAAAGGGACACUCCAGUUCCCCACUACGUCUCUUUGAACAUGAAAUCCUGCUCUUGGAAAAUCGCAAUUUUGUGCCAAAUUGCUUCAAUUGUACUUCUGUUAGCAUGAAAACAUAUAUUUCAAGGGGAAUCGUGUUUUUCAUUGUUGUAGGCUACUGUCUAACCCAGUAGAGAUGGAUCAGAUGAGACCAUUAACACAUGAUCUUAAAGGACGAGCAUAUUACUUACAUUUCUUGAGAUGCAGAUUGUUAAAAGUGCUUUCCCAACUGUGAAAUUUCUAGUAGGAUUAAUUUUCUUUGCACCUAGUGAUGCAAGUAUGACCUCAUAGAGUGGUUGUUGAAGUUUGAUGUGCAAGCUUGUUAGAUCAGAAUGAGUUCCAGUUCAUGGUUCACGAACUAUUUCUUUUCUUGUGACUUUCUUAUGCAAAUGUUACUUUUCUCGUAAGCGUUCAAUAUGCAACCAUAUGCAUGAUCUUUCAGGUCGAUUACUCUAACUAGCCCCCCAUAAGUCCAUUAAACAACUUGUAUAUAUAAAACAACUAGGCUACAUAUGAUUUCGUGUCUGUAGAAGAUUAGAAGCUCUCCAAUCCUAGCAGACAACCAGACCCUUACUGCUACCCUUGAAUGAAAAUUAAGGAAAAGCUGGUGGCGAAAUGUGUUCGAGUGGCGAAAACCAACCUACCUUCCUUUUUGGCCAGAUUGAAUGGUUGGACUUCUUGCUUGCCAGUGUAGAUUUCUGAUUUUCUCAGAUAGGUCUUUUUCUCCAACCUAUCUAAAUGCAGUGGAAGUACCAUUUGGUGUCUUCCAGCAAAUUACGCAGAUGAAUAACAAUUCCAUUUCUGUAUGAAAAGAGCUGAUAUACAGUGGAAGUAUCAAUUGGCUUCUUGCUGGUUAGUCAAUGUCUCCAGGCGAAGGGCUUCAUAAGGUACCUUAAAGUGUAAGGUUAUUUCCACUCUCCAUUAAAUAAAUCUUAAUGCAGAUUCAAGGUUAUGCCCAAGCUUAUGUCUUAUGGUAGUAUCUUAUAGCUUACUAGGAUCUAUUCCAAAAUUUCUUAUAGCAUAACCUAAAGCGUAAGGUUAUUCCCUAAGAAUUUUUCCUAUUACUUUUUAAUGUAAGUACAAGUGGCCAAUAAUUUUAGUUGGGUGGAUUGUGAGGCAUCUUAAUUACAUUAGUCUCUCUAACAUACAAAAAUAAAUUCCUAUCUGUAAAGUAUACCUGGUAGAAAAUUUUAAAAUAAUAUUCAAUAAAAAAGAUA
This 1461-nucleotide long non-coding RNA is filed under the name Phoenix dactylifera (date palm). RNAcentral's name for it is "long non-coding RNA (PDAC_LNC013409)". Lineage: Eukaryota; Viridiplantae; Streptophyta; Magnoliopsida; Arecales; Arecaceae. The record is from RNAcentral.